UUCGCCUGUUUUUCAAAAACAUCGCCUCUUGCACCAAUAUGAGAGGUCCAGCCUGCCCAGUGACCCAGUUCAACGGCCGCGGUAUCCUAACCGUGCGAAGGUAGCGUAAUCACUUGUUCUUUAAAUAAGGACUAGUAUGAAUGGCACCACGAAGGUUAUGCUGUCUCCUUUUUCUGAUCAAUGAAACUAAUUUUCCCGUGAAGAAGCGGGGAUUUUAAUAUAAGACGAGAAGACCCUAUGGAGCUUCAAACUAUAUAGCAUUGGCUUUAAUUCAUUUAUGCCCCCGGGUUCUUAUAUAAACUCUAGCCUUUUAACUAUCAGUUUUGGGUUGGGGUGACCGCGGAGCAAAAAUUAUCCUCCAUGAUGAACAGAGCUAUUCUUGAACCAAAAGCCACAACUUUAAGCACCAAUAAAUUGACAUAAAUUGACCCAAUAUUUUGAGCAACGAACCAAGUUACCCUAGGGAUAACAGCGCAAUCCACCCCAAGAGCCCCUAUCGACAGGUGGGUUUACGACCUCGAUGUUGGAUCAGGGUAUCCCAGUGGUGCAGCCGCUACUGAAGGUUCGUUUGUUCAACGAUUAAAACCCUACGUGAUCUGAGUCCAGACCGGA
This 612-nucleotide ribosomal RNA is filed under the name Dendropsophus triangulum (triangle treefrog). RNAcentral's name for it is "partial large subunit ribosomal RNA". It matches the Rfam family "Bacterial large subunit ribosomal RNA", at positions 1795 to 2620 of the family's 2925-position model. Lineage: Eukaryota; Metazoa; Chordata; Amphibia; Anura; Hylidae. The record is from RNAcentral.